GCUUUGUGGUCGAGUGGUAAAACACUUGCCUCCCACCCUGGAUUCCUGGGUUCAAUCCCCGAUCGAGGAGCA
Molecule: non-coding RNA, 72 nt
Organism: Rhamnusium bicolor
Lineage: Eukaryota; Metazoa; Arthropoda; Insecta; Coleoptera; Cerambycidae
Source: the annotation of a GenBank genome assembly